UGAGUACACUUUAAAUAUUUUAACGAGGAACAAUUGGAGGGCAAGUCUGGUGCCAGCAGCCGCGGUAAUUCCAGCUCCAAUAGCGUAUACUAAAAUUGUUGCGGUUAAAAAGCUCGUAGUUGCAUUUGUGCGCCGCGCUGUCGGUGCACCGCAUCCGCGGUGAUACUGACACGUCUGCGGAGCAUAUCGUCGGUGAGCCGGCGGUAACACGCCGGUUCAAUAUAAAAAUCCUAUCGCGGUGCUCUUCAGUGAGUGUCGAGGUGGGCCGACAAUUUUACUUUGAACAAAUUAGAGUGCUCAAAGCGGGCUCAAAAUGCUGCCUGAAUAUUUCGUGCAUGGAAUAAUAGAAUAUGAUCUCGGUUCUAUUUUGUUGGUUUUCAGAACUCCGAGGUAAUGAUUAAUAGGGAUAACUGGGGGCAUUCGUAUUGCGACGUUAGAGGUGAAAUUCUUGGAUCGUCGCAAGACGAACAUCAGCGAAAGCAUUUGCCAAAGGUGUUUUCAUCAAUCAAGAACGAAAGUUAGAGGUUCGAAGGCGAUUAGAUACCGCCCUAGUUCUAACCGUAAAUAUGUCAUCUAGCGAUCCGCCGACGUUACUACAAUGGCUCGGCGGGCAGCUUCCGGGAAACCAAAGAUUUUGGACUCCGGGGGGAGUAUGGUUGCAAAGCUGAAACUUAAAGGAA
RNAcentral lists this ribosomal RNA (680 nucleotides) under Perittia andoi. RNAcentral describes it as "SSU rRNA". It matches the Rfam family "Eukaryotic small subunit ribosomal RNA", at positions 515 to 1152 of the family's 1831-position model. The record is from RNAcentral. Lineage: Eukaryota; Metazoa; Arthropoda; Insecta; Lepidoptera; Elachistidae.